CACGCAGGCGGUCUGCUAAGUUCGGAGUGACCAGUCACCAGCUUAACUGGUGAAGGACUUUGAAAACUGGCGGACUUGAGAGCGAGAGAGGGACAUGGAAUUUCGGGUGGAGCAGUGAAAUGCGUAGAUAUCCGGAGGAAUACCAAAGGCGAAGGCAGUGUCCUGGCUCGUAUCUGACGCUGAGGUGCGAAAGCUAGGGGAGCGAACGGGAUUAGAUACCCCGGUAGUCCUAGCCGUAAACGAUGACCACUAGGCGUGGGAGGUAUCGACCCCUUCCGUGCCGCAGUUAACACAAUAAGUGGUCCGCCUGGGGAGUACGGUCGCAAGACUAAA
This 333-nucleotide ribosomal RNA is filed under the name uncultured bacterium. Its description in RNAcentral is "bacterial SSU rRNA". It matches the Rfam family "Bacterial small subunit ribosomal RNA", at positions 568 to 898 of the family's 1533-position model. The record is from RNAcentral.